GGGCCUGUAGCUCAGUUGGGAGAGCGUCUGCUUCGCAUGCAGAAGGCCGGGAGUUCGACUCUCCCCAGGUCCA
Molecule: transfer RNA, 73 nt
Filed under: Candidatus Omnitrophota bacterium
Lineage: Bacteria; Pseudomonadati; Candidatus Omnitrophota
Description: Candidatus Omnitrophica bacterium tRNA-Ala
Rfam family: tRNA
About the family: Transfer RNA (tRNA) molecules are approximately 80 nucleotides in length. Their secondary structure includes four short double-helical elements and three loops (D, anti-codon, and T loops). Further hydrogen bonds mediate the characteristic L-shaped molecular structure. tRNAs have two regions of fundamental functional importance: the anti-codon, which is responsible for specific mRNA codon recognition, and the 3' end, to which the tRNAs corresponding amino acid is attached (by aminoacyl-tRNA synthetases). tRNAs cope with the degeneracy of the genetic code in two manners: having more than one tRNA (with a specific anti-codon) for a particular amino acid; and 'wobble' base-pairing, i.e. permitting non-standard base-pairing at the 3rd anti-codon position.
Source: RNAcentral